UACGUAGGCAGCGAGCGUUGUUCGGAAUUACUGGGCGUAAAGAGUGUGUAGGCGGUGCUCCAAGUCUGGUGUGAAAUCUCCCGGCUUAACUGGGAGGGUGCGCCGGAAACUGGAGUGCUAGAGGAUGGGAGAGGUAAGCGGAAUUCCUGGUGUAGCGGUGAAAUGCGUAGAUAUCAGGAGGAACACCUGUGGUGUAGACAGCUUACUGGACCAUUUCUGACGCUGAGACACGAAAGCGUGGGUAGCAAACAGG
Molecule: ribosomal RNA, 253 nt
Filed under: uncultured bacterium
Lineage: Bacteria
Description: partial 16S ribosomal RNA
Rfam family: Bacterial small subunit ribosomal RNA
Source: RNAcentral